AACAUUUCUAGCUUGCUAGAAGAUGACGAGUGGCGGACGGGUGAGUAAUGCUUGGGAACUUGCCUUUGCGAGGGGGAUAACAGUUGGAAACGACUGCUAAUACCGCAUAAUGUCUUCGGACCAAACGGGGCUUAGGCUCCGGCGCAAAGAGAGGCCCAAGUGAGAUUAGCUAGUUGGUAAGGUAACGGCUUACCAAGGCGACGAUCUCUAGCUGUUCUGAGAGGAAGAUCAGCCACACUGGGACUGGGACACGGCCCAGACUCCUACGGGAGGCAGCAGUGGGGAAUAUUGCACAAUGGGGGAAACCCUGAUGCAGCCAUGCCGCGUGUGUGAAGAAGGCCUUCGGGUUGUAAAGCACUUUCAGUUGUGAGGAAAAGUUAGUAGUUAAUACCUGCUAGCCGUGACGUUAACAACAGAAGAAGCACCGGCUAACUCCGUGCCAGCAGCCGCGGUAAUACGGAGGGUGCGAGCGUUAAUCGGAAUUACUGGGCGUAAAGCGCACGCAGGCGGUUUGUUAAGCUAGAUGUGAAAGCCCCGGGCUCAACCUGGGAUGGUCAUUUAGAACUGGCAGACUAGAGUCUUGGAGAGGGGAGUGGAAUUCCAGGUGUAGCGGUGAAAUGCGUAGAUAUCUGGAGGAACAUCAGUGGCGAAGGCGACUCCCUGGCCAAAGACUGACGCUCAUGUGCGAAAGUGUGGGUAGCGAACAGGAUUAGAUACCCUGGUAGUCCACACCGUAAACGCUGUCUACUAGCUGUGUGUG
This 760-nucleotide ribosomal RNA is filed under the name uncultured Alteromonas sp. Its description in RNAcentral is "bacterial SSU rRNA". It matches the Rfam family "Bacterial small subunit ribosomal RNA", at positions 70 to 828 of the family's 1533-position model. The record is from RNAcentral. Lineage: Bacteria; Pseudomonadati; Pseudomonadota; Gammaproteobacteria; Alteromonadales; Alteromonadaceae.